Molecule: long non-coding RNA, 615 nt
Filed under: Oryzias sinensis (Chinese medaka)
Lineage: Eukaryota; Metazoa; Chordata; Actinopteri; Beloniformes; Adrianichthyidae
Description: lncRNA (ENSOSIG00000003483.1)
Source: RNAcentral
UGUACACAGAGCGUUGUGAUGUCUUUUUGGAAACAUAGAAGAAAAACCACAGCGGCAGCCAUGGUGGUGGUAAAUAUUUGAUGGCUUCCUUUGGUUUUCCUCAGGCACAUUCAAGCCCUCAAAAGGAUGGAGCAAGCGCUGACCGUGGCCACUGAGCAGCUGGCUUUCAAAACAUCCGUCUAUCAUGAGCUGCAGGCACAGUUAGAUGCUGUUCCUCAAAGAGAGGCCACAACGAAGCAAAGGAUGGAGCUUCAGAAGGACGUGGAUGCCCUCAAAGUCAGCCUCAAAACUCAGCUAUCAUUGACGGAGGUUGAGAGCCAGAAGAAGCAGCAGUUUGAGAUAAUUCAGGAGCUACAGAAGGAGUCAAUGCGUCUAAGGCAAGAACUCCACCAGCUCAGAUGUCUAACCCUCAUGAAAGCUGAGCAGAAGGGCCGGGAGCACAGAGAACUGCUCAGGGCGAAGCAACUGAGGGAGCAAAUCCAGCAGGAGCUCAGGGAAAAAGACCUCAUCAUUGAAGAGCAUGAGAAAGUCAACACAAAUCUACAGCAGAGGUAUGUGUGUGUGUGUGCUUAUUCAUGCUCCAUCGCAUGUGUUCGUCUUGCUAAAUGCAGGAUU